GACGAACGCUGGCGGCGUGCUUAACACAUGCAAGUCGAACGGAAAGGCCCUGCUUUUGUGGGGUGCUCGAGUGGCGAACGGGUGAGUAACACGUGAGUAACCUGCCCUUGACUUUGGGAUAACUUCAGGAAACUGGGGCUAAUACCGGAUAGGAGCUCCUGCUGCAUGGUGGGGGUUGGAAAGUUUCGGCGGUUGGGGAUGGACUCGCGGCUUAUCAGCUUGUUGGUGGGGUAGUGGCUUACCAAGGCUUUGACGGGUAGCCGGCCUGAGAGGGUGACCGGCCCAAUGGGGACUGUGAUACGGUCCAAACCCCUCGGGGGGGCAGCGGUGGGGAAUUUUGCAAAAGGGGCGGAGGCCUGAUGCACCAACGCCGGGGGCGGGAGGAGGGCCUUGGGGUUGUAAACCGCUUUCCCCUGUAACGAAGCGUGGGUGCCGGUAAUGGUUAAAGAAGCACCGGCUAACUACGU
This 467-nucleotide ribosomal RNA is filed under the name uncultured bacterium. Its description in RNAcentral is "partial 16S ribosomal RNA". It matches the Rfam family "Bacterial small subunit ribosomal RNA", at positions 28 to 506 of the family's 1533-position model. The record is from RNAcentral.